UUAACUACCUAAUAGAGGGUCGUAGAAGAUCUAUGUUUAAUCUACACAACAUCGUAUGUCCAGAAAUUAUAAAUAAAUUACAACUUUCAGCAAUGGAUCUCUUGGUUCUCGCAUCGAUGAAGAACGCAGCGAAUCGCGAUAAGUAAUGUGAAUUGCAGAUUUUCAGUGAAUCAUCGAAUCUUUGAACGCACCUUGCGCCCCUUGGUAUUCCGAGGGGCAUGCCUGUUUGAGUGUCAUUUUAUCAUCAACUCAUUAGUCUUUCAUUAGGCUAUUGGGCUUGGAUUUGGGAAUUGCUGGCUUGAUCUUUUACCCAUUGAACAGUAUCUAAUACUUAAUAGAGGGUAAAGUGUAGUCGGCUGUCCUUAAAAGCAUUAGCGAGUGUUAGUCUACAUGGCACGGCCUCUUGACGUGAUAAUGAUCGUCGUGGGCUGGAAGUGUAGUGUCUGGCUUCUAAUCCGAUUGUGUGCAUACGGCCCUUAAAGCUGGAAGCGCAAUCAAAACCGACUACGUGCAUACGGCCCAUAAAGCUGGAAGCGUAAUCAAA
This 544-nucleotide ribosomal RNA is filed under the name uncultured Leccinum. RNAcentral describes it as "eukaryotic LSU rRNA". The stretch from base 82 to 236 matches the Rfam family "5.8S ribosomal RNA". The record is from RNAcentral. Lineage: Eukaryota; Fungi; Basidiomycota; Agaricomycetes; Boletales; Boletaceae.